RNAcentral lists this ribosomal RNA (764 nucleotides) under uncultured bacterium. RNAcentral's name for it is "bacterial SSU rRNA". It matches the Rfam family "Bacterial small subunit ribosomal RNA", at positions 28 to 793 of the family's 1533-position model. The record is from RNAcentral.
AUUGAACGCUGGCGGCAGGCCUAACACAUGCAAGUCGAGCGUGAAAGCCUUCGGGUGAGUAAAGCGGCGGACGGGUGAGUAACGCGUGGGAAUCUGCCCGGUAGCGGGGGACAACAGUCGGAAACGACUGCUAAUACCGCAUACGCCCUGAGGGGGAAAGCAGGGGAUCUUCGGACCUUGCACUAUCGGAUGAGCCCGCGUCAGAUUAGCUGGUUGGUAGGGUAAUGGCCUACCAAGGCAACGAUCUGUAACUGGUCUGAGAGGAUGAUCAGUCACACUGGAACUGAGACACGGUCCAGACUCCUACGGGAGGCAGCAGUGGGGAAUAUUGCACAAUGGGGGAAACCCUGAUGCAGCCAUGCCGCGUGUGUGAAGAAGGCCUCGGGUUGUAAAGCACUUUAAGCAGUGAGGAAGGGUUGAACGCUAAUAUCGUUCAACAUUGACGUUAGCUGCAGAAUAAGCACCGGCUAACUCCGUGCCAGCAGCCGCGGUAAUACGGAGGGUGCAAGCGUUAAUCGGAUUUACUGGGCGUAAAGCGCGCGUAGGCGGUAAUCCAAGCUGGGUGUGAAAGCCCCGGGCUCAACCUGGGAAUUGCAUUCAGAACUGGAUUGCUAGAGUACAGAAGAGGGGUGUGGAAUUUCCGGUGUAGCGGUGAAAUGCGUAGAGAUCGGAAGGAACUCAGUGGCGAAGGCGACACCCUGGUCUGAUACUGACGCUGAGGUGCGAAAGCGUGGGUAGCAAAACAGGAUUAGAUACCCUGGUAG